GACAGAGGCCUCAAGCGUUAGGCGGAAUCACUGGGCUUAAAGCGUGUGUAGGCGGAUCGUUAAGUGCCUUGUGAAAUCCCACGGCUCAACCGUGGAAGUGCCCUUGAUACUGGUGGCCUCGAGGGAGGCAGGGGCGUGCGGAACUUUGGGUGGAGCGGUGAAAUGCGUAGAUAUCCAAAGGAACACCGGUGGCGAAAGCGGCGCGCUGGACCUCUUCUGACGCUGAGGCGCGAAAGCCAGGGGAGCAAACGGG
This 253-nucleotide ribosomal RNA is filed under the name uncultured bacterium. Its description in RNAcentral is "partial 16S ribosomal RNA". It matches the Rfam family "Bacterial small subunit ribosomal RNA", at positions 524 to 776 of the family's 1533-position model. The record is from RNAcentral.